Molecule: ribosomal RNA, 789 nt
Filed under: Photobacterium leiognathi
Lineage: Bacteria; Pseudomonadati; Pseudomonadota; Gammaproteobacteria; Vibrionales; Vibrionaceae
Description: bacterial SSU rRNA
Rfam family: Bacterial small subunit ribosomal RNA
Source: RNAcentral
GGCGGACGGGUGAGUAAUGCCUGGGAAUAUGCCCUGAUGUGGGGGAUAACUAUUGGAAACGAUAGCUAAUACCGCAUAAUCUCUUCGGAGCAAAGAGGGGGACCUUCGGGCCUCUCGCGUCAGGAUUAGCCCAGGUGGGAUUAGCUUGUUGGUGAGGUAAUGGCUCACCAAGGCAACGAUCCCUAGCUGGUCUGAGAGGAUGAUCAGCCACACUGGAACUGAGACACGGUCCAGACUCCUACGGGAGGCAGCAGUGGGGAAUAUUGCACAAUGGGGGAAACCCUGAUGCAGCCAUGCCGCGUGUAUGAAGAAGGCCUUCGGGUUGUAAAGUACUUUCAGUAGGGAGGAAGGCAGUGUCGUUAAUAGCGGCAUUGUUUGACGUUACCUACAGAAGAAGCACCGGCUAACUCCGUGCCAGCAGCCGCGGUAAUACGGAGGGUGCGAGCGUUAAUCGGAAUUACUGGGCGUAAAGCGCAUGCAGGCGGUCUGUUAAGCAAGAUGUGAAAGCCCGGGGCUCAACCUCGGAACAGCAUUUUGAACUGGCAGACUAGAGUCUUGUAGAGGGGGGUAGAAUUUCAGGUGUAGCGGUGAAAUGCGUAGAGAUCUGAAGGAAUACCGGUGGCGAAGGCGGCCCCCUGGACAAAGACUGACGCUCAGAUGCGAAAGCGUGGGGAGCAAACACGAUUAGAUACCCUGGUAGUCCACGCCGUAUACGAUGUCUACUUGGAUGUUGUGGCCUUCAGCCGUGGCUUUCUGAGCUAACGCGUUAAGUAGACCGCCUGGGGAGUA